This 78-nucleotide transfer RNA is filed under the name Klebsiella pneumoniae. Its description in RNAcentral is "tRNA-Met". It matches the Rfam family "tRNA". Rfam says of the family: Transfer RNA (tRNA) molecules are approximately 80 nucleotides in length. Lineage: Bacteria; Pseudomonadati; Pseudomonadota; Gammaproteobacteria; Enterobacterales; Enterobacteriaceae. The record is from RNAcentral.
CGCGGGGUGGAGCAGUUUCGGUAGCUCGUCGGGCUCAUAACCCGAAGGUCGUCGGUUCAAAUCCGGCCCCCGCAACCA